Molecule: ribosomal RNA, 329 nt
Filed under: uncultured eukaryote
Lineage: Eukaryota
Description: partial 18S ribosomal RNA
Rfam family: Eukaryotic small subunit ribosomal RNA
Source: RNAcentral
CCCUUAGAUGUUCUGGGCCGCACGCGUGUUACACUGAUGCGUUCAUCAGGCACCACACCUUGGCUCGAGAGGCCUGGGUAAUCUUGAAAUCGCAUCGUGCUGGGGAUAGAUUAUUGUAAUUUUUAAUCUUCAACGAGGAAUUUCUAGUAGGCGUUUGUCAUCAACAAGCACCGAUUACGUCCCUGUCCUUUGUACACACCGCCCGUCGCUACUACCGAUUGAAUCAUUUGGUGAGGCCCGCGGACUGUUGUGCUUUCUUCCUCGUGUUGAUUGCACUUCUUGGGAAGCGGUACGAACCUGAUGAUCUAGAGGAAGUAAAAGUCGUAACA